This 253-nucleotide ribosomal RNA is filed under the name uncultured bacterium. RNAcentral's name for it is "partial 16S ribosomal RNA". It matches the Rfam family "Bacterial small subunit ribosomal RNA", at positions 524 to 776 of the family's 1533-position model. The record is from RNAcentral.
UACGUAGGUGACCAGCGUUGUCCGGAUUUACUGGGCGUAAAGAGCGCGCAGGCGGUCGUUCAAGUCGAGUGUGAAAGCCCCCGGCUCAACUGGGGAGGGUCAUUCGAUACUGAUCGACUUGAAGGCAGGAGAGGGAAGCGGAAUUCCCGGUGUAGUGGUGAAAUGCGUAGAUAUCUGGAGGAAUACCGGUGGCGAAGGCGGCAUCCUGGACCGGCAUUGACGCUGAGGAGCGAAAGCCAGGGGAGCAAACGGG